UACGUAGGGGGCUAGCGUUGUCCGGAAUCAUUGGGCGUAAAGAGCGUGUAGGCGGUCCGGUAAGUCCGCUGUGAAAGUCGGGGGCUCAACCCUCGAAUGCCGGUGGAUACUGUCGGGCUAGAGUGCGGAAGAGGCGGGUGGAAUUCCUGGUGUAGCGGUGAAAUGCGCAGAUAUCAGGAGGAACACCUAUUGCGAAGGCAGCUCGCUGGGACGUAACUGACGCUGAGACGCGAAAGCGUGGGGAGCAAACAGG
This 253-nucleotide ribosomal RNA is filed under the name uncultured bacterium. RNAcentral's name for it is "partial 16S ribosomal RNA". It matches the Rfam family "Bacterial small subunit ribosomal RNA", at positions 524 to 776 of the family's 1533-position model. The record is from RNAcentral.